GUCUCAUAGAUGAUGGUGAAACCCCAGAAGCAGCUGCUCUCCGGGAGCUUGAAGAAGAAACUGGCUACAAAGGGGACAUUGCCGAAUGUUCUCCAGCGGUCUGUAUGGACCCAGGCUUGUCAAACUGUACUAUACACAUCGUGACAGUCACCAUUAACGGAGAUGAUGCCGAAAACGCAAGGCCGAAGCCAAAGCCAGGUAUGUGUGUGUCGGCUGUGAUGAAGGUGGUGUGGUUGCAUUACGUGUCUUGGAACUUGCUGCUAGUUUGAUUUAUUAAAAGAAUGUAGUCUUUCAUGGAAAGAAUCGGUCUUUCAAAUAGACUUCAUCAGUAUUCUUGUCUCUCUUCCUAAUCAUGUAUUUUAGCAUUUUUCUUUUGCCACUUCAUUCAUCUUUACGCUUUCUUUGUAAAAAAAUGUUAAAUGACAUAUUUCCCUGUUUUCUAUAUGAAGUGUAUUCCCACUUAGUAAUAUGAG
This 473-nucleotide long non-coding RNA is filed under the name Homo sapiens (human). RNAcentral describes it as "non-protein coding lnc-UPF2-4:1". Lineage: Eukaryota; Metazoa; Chordata; Mammalia; Primates; Hominidae. The record is from RNAcentral.